Molecule: ribosomal RNA, 280 nt
Filed under: uncultured bacterium
Lineage: Bacteria
Description: partial 16S ribosomal RNA
Rfam family: Bacterial small subunit ribosomal RNA
Source: RNAcentral
UGCCAGCCGCCGCGGUAAUACGGAGGGGGCGAGCGUUAUUCGGAUUUAUUGGGCGUAAAGGGUCCGUAGGGGGUUUGAUAAGUCUGAUGUGAAAUAUCGAGGCUCAACCUCGAAACUGCAUUGGAAACUGUCAGACUAGAGCAUAGGAGAGGAGAGUGGAAUUCCUGGUGUAGCGGUGGAAUGCGUAGAUAUCAGGAGGAACACCGAUGGCGAAGGCAGCUCUCUGGACUAUUGCUGACCCUGAGGGACGAAAGCUAGGGGAAGCGAACAGGAUUAGAUA